AUGGUGGCGCUGCAGGAUAACAUCGGCGGUGUAAAAACACUGAACUGGACGAUGUUCUGGACUCGGUUACCCACCCGGUGCGCUCAGAGUGGUGGGAAGACAGAAAGAACACGCCUUCAAGGUGCGAACUACAAGCUACUCAGCCGGGUUAAAAUCCUUAGGCCUCUUAAGAUUCGGUGGACAUUAGCAGAGACACGUUUCCCAAAACUGCGAAGAGAAGCUGAAGCGAUUCUGCAGGAAGCUUUCCUUAAAGGAGCUAUGGAGAACGGAAGGGCAGACGCUCUGCAGAUAAGGUGUAGCACUUUUUUAAACUUCAUUUAUUUUGAAGCUCUGUGAUGUACACAUAGGUAAGAUUAUUUUAUCUUCUUGAUGAAUUGACAAUAAUUAUUAUGAAGCAUAUUACUAGAGACAUUCUCUAGUAAUACUGUUAGUCUGAUGAUAAAACCACCCUAUAUUUCUUAUGCUUAGGGUUCAUUUAAUGUCUUUUUUUCCUCCUUUAACUGUCUCAUCCUGACUUUAUAUUUUAGAUAUAUCUUAUGUAAACUAAAGAGUUGGAUUUUGGUUUUUAUCCAGUUUUGUCAUUUCUGCCAUUUAAUUGGAGACUUUAUUCCAUUUAUAUUGAAUAUAAUUAUUUAUAUGAUUGUCUUUAUGGCAAUUAAAAAAAUAUUUUAUUUUUAAGUAAUCUCUACAUCCAAAGAGGGGCUCAAACUCAGAGCUCCUAUAUCAAGAGUCAUAUGUUCCACCAACUGAGCCAGCCAGGUGCCCCUAUUAUAAUUUUUUGGUACCAUCUAUUUUCAUUCCUUUGUCUCUUGUUCACUGGAUUUGGCUUUUUUUUAAGAUUUUAUUUAUUUAUUUGACAAACAGAGAUCACAGGUAGGCAGAGAGGCAGGCAGAGAGCGAGGGGGAGAAGCAGUCUCCCUGCUGAGCAGAGAGCCCAAUGCAGGGCUCUAUCCCAGGAAUCUGAGAUCAUGACCUGAGCCUAAGGCAGAGUCUUAACCCAUUGAGCCACCCAGGCACCCCUGGAUUUGGCUUUUGUUUGUUUUUGCUUAAUUGUGUAUUUUUUUGGUAUUCUACUUUUAUACUAUAUUGACUUUUUAUGCAUAACAUUUUGGGGGGUAUUUUAUCUAAGGAUAAGCAUACACAGCCUUUAUUAAAACAGUCUACCUUAAAUUAAUAUUAUGUCACUUCACCACAAUGUGGAAAAACGUCCUGUUAGGUAUUUCUCAUCUUUUUCUGUCAUGACACAGAAGAUCAGCACAAGACGUAGGAGAGGUAUUUAAGAAUUCCUAUGGUGAAAAACCUCUAUGAAUAGAAUGAAAUUGGAAAAUGUUUGUAAAAUAUCUUAAUAUGUAAUGGGUAGAAGAUAUUCCAUACUAGAGAGAAAUAUAAUGAAAACAAUCAGUGUGAGAAAAACUUCAGCCAGAUUUCAAAUUUAAAUGUGCAUAAAAGAACUCAUACUGAAGAGAAAUGCUGUGAAUUCAACACAUGUGAGAAAAUAGUAAUCUUUCAUUUGUUAAAACACACAUGGGAGCACACACUGACACAAACCCUAUCAAUCUAAGAGACAGUAGAGAGCCCUUCAGCUGUUUUAUGUAUUGUAGGACUCACAUGAAAAUUCACAUUGGAAAAUAAAAUACAAAAUGUGGGAAAACCAUUAUUCGUUCUCCAUUUAUUGUUGUACAUGUGAUUUUCAUGGUUGAGAUAAGCCUUAUUUCAUGUAAUGUGAAAAAUGUGGGGAAAAAACCACUUCCAUUUUUUUAUCUUUUAGAAAAAUGUAGAAAAAAUCUCACUGAUGAGAAAUACUGUAAUUGUAAAAAAUGUGGAAAAAUCCUCAAUUGUCCCUCAUGCUUUAGGCACAUGUGAGAACUAAUAUUGAAAGUAUCUCCUUUGGCUGUUGAAGAUUAUGAGAAGAUCUUUAUUUCUCCUAUAUCUCUUAUUUUACAUGUAAGAUUCAUAUUGAGGUGAAGCCUUACAAAUGUAAGAAAUACAGGAAAACCUUCACUUAUUCCUGAAAGCUUACUCUACAAGUAAGAAAACAUAUAAGAAAAGGAUCUGUAUACAUAUAAGAAAUGUGGGAAAGGCUAUAGGUUUCCCUCUACCUUUAAUAACCACAAGCACUGGCCUUAUAAUGGUAAACAAUGUGACAAAUCCUUUCAUUUUUCAUAUUUUACUGUAUAUGUGAUAAUGCACAUUGGAAGAGAAACACUGUGACUGUAUGGAAUGCAGUAACUUCUGCCUUCUGAGCUCUUAGGUCAUGAGAACUCAUACUAGUGAGAAGUCAUAUUACUAUCUGGAGAGUAGGAAAGUCUGAACUUGUAUGUAAUUCCUUCAAAAUCUUGUGAAAAUUCACAUUGGAGAGAAAGCAUACAAGUGUAAGAAAUGUGGGAAAGUGUAUUUCCUAACACUUCAGCACUUAUUUGAGAACAUACACACUGAAGAGAAAAUAUAUAAUGAAUGUGGAAAAUCUGUUGUGUCUUUCUCAUUCCUUAGUCAGCUAGUGAGAACUCAUACUGUGGUAUAGACCUGUGAAGAAUGGAAAAUCCUUUAGCUUAUACCUUUAUGCUUUCAAAGAUGGGAAAAGUCAAGUUGGAGAGAAAGCCAAUAAAUGUAAUCAAUGUGGGAAAGCCUUCAGGUGCAUCUAAUCUUUGAUUAUGCUUGAGGAAAUUCACACUGGAGGAAACAUCUUUAAAAUAUUGUAAAUACGGAAGUGCUUUAUCAGUGUCUUAUCUUUGAAGUGACUCCUAGCUCAUAAUUUCUACUUUGUAUUUUCUAAUAUAAGCCUUUAUAAUAUAAAUGUUGCUCCUGAUGUCCUUGUAGCUAUAUCAUACAACUUCUGAUAUCUCAUUUUCAUUAUGGUUCAUUAAUAUGUAUUGUAUAAUUUCCAUUGUGAAGUCUCUUUAGACUUAAAUAAAGUGUUUUUAGUAUGUAAGUGUAUUUGAAAUUAACUUUGUUACUGUUUAUAAUUAAUUCCCAUUCCCAGAUGUAAUACAUGUGGUCAUUACAAUAUUGACUCUGGUAUUUGUUGGGUAAGUUAUUUAUCUUUAGUGUUGAGAGAUCUGUAGCAUUUUUGUAGCUAAUGUAGUGUAAAACCAAUUGCUUUGGUCAAUAAGUAAUUGAUAUAAGUAAAAAAAUGUGCAAAGUUAUAAAAAAGGAUAGUUUCAUUAGACUUGGUAAUUUCACCUUUUGUGCUUUGCUCCUCCAAGUUGGACACAAUACUUCAAGUUGAAAAGAGAGCCCUUGUAACCAUGAAAGUGAAAGCUAGGGGGAAUGAUGAUUGUGCUGUAUUGUGUUAAAUGAGACUUACAACCACAUUUUCCAGACUCUUCUCUGCUGUAUGGUUGCUAGAAUUGGACAAGAGUAACCUGCAUGAAAUUUGAAAUGCAAAAUGAAGAAGUCAUUAACCUCAAAAGAAUGUGGAAAUAGCAGAUUAACAGAUCUAGAACUGUUCAGGAGUUCCAAACUUCAACCUUGACUUCCUAACUAUUGGCUUUGUUGAACAUCAGCCCUAAGCUAAACACUAAGCAUGUAAUUUUAAUUCCCUCAGAGAUGGCAGCUUCCACAAACACCUCCAUGAGCUCACCCAUCAUGGUCCUACUUUGGCGGCUAGAUGUGCACAACUGUUUGAAUUUUCUACACAGUCAAACCCGCCUAUUCUCACUGCUGUUUCAGGAUAUCAUGAUUAGAGAUUUUCUUCAAAACUCUGACUCCCGGGACGCCUGGGUGGCUCAGUUGGUUGGACGACUGCCUUUGGCUCAGGUCAUGAUCCUGGAUUCCCAGGAUUGAGUCCCGCAUCGGGCUCCCAGCUCCCUGGGGAGUCUGCUUCUCUGACCUUCUCCUCGCUCAUGCUCUCUCUCACUGUCUCUCUCUCAAAUAAAUAAAUAAAAUUAAAAAAAACUCUGACUCCCUUUUCUCCACAUUGUGAAAAGUGUAAUUUCAAUAGUGAGCACCUAUAAUAUAUAAACAAAUAUAUAUAUACAAUAUAAACAAAUGUGUAACUUUGUUCCCCUUUUGCAUUGUUAAGUGGCCACACUGUCUCUGUACUGCCUGUUUCUGGACUCUUCCAAGAGAGAAAUAAGAACCUUGCUAAUCUGUGGGUCAUGCUGUGAGAAUUUUAUGUCAUUCAAAACUGAAUAAAAUCCUAAAUGAUAAACAUAGUAUGUGUUAAGUUAAAACAAC
Molecule: long non-coding RNA, 4176 nt
Organism: Mustela putorius furo (domestic ferret)
Lineage: Eukaryota; Metazoa; Chordata; Mammalia; Carnivora; Mustelidae
Source: Ensembl